Long non-coding RNA from Alligator sinensis (Chinese alligator), 3463 nucleotides. RefSeq lists it as uncharacterized. The transcript has 8 exons. Lineage: Eukaryota; Metazoa; Chordata; Crocodylia; Alligatoridae. The record is from RefSeq and is a predicted model, not a curated record.
GAAAAAGUUCUCAGUAUAAUUAUCAGGAAGACUGUACAUAUUAAAACUGACUAGUUAAAGAUUCAUACAGAGACUCAACAACAAAGAAAACAGAGCAAUUCAUUCUAAGAUACCAGACAGUGUGACAGUGUUAGGCUUUCAUCUUUACUACGCUCUUAUUAGCUUGCAGCAGCACCCUGGUCAAGAAUCACUGCUCUAAACACUACCGUGUAAAAGGCAGGGGUGGCCACACAACAAGUCAACCCAUGUUUUUUUGACAGCCAUGAGCACUGUUUUGUGCUGAACUCCAUACCAUAAACAAGCUCUAAAUGGCCACAUCCAGACAAGUGCGGCCAUGCGGUAUGUGGCACGCAAACGCGUCUGUGGUACCACGUACCACACGUUCAGUUGUUCUCCACACUGCAAGGGAGCAGCACGGAGAGCUUUUUGACCCUUGGACAUCCAAGAGUCAAAAAUACUGCAGGAAAAAAAAAACAACGGUGCAUGCAGUGGAAGUGUGCCCUGCCCAAAGCCGGAGCCACACUGCAGCCGGCCAGACUCCACAAGGCAGGAUCACCGUUGCUGCAGCCCCAGAAGGCCCCCAGGUAAGGUUGCUGGGGCCAGCCCAGUGCUGGUCCUAGCUUCCCCUACCCCACCUGGGGUAAGCUGCCACAUGCCAGAGCGCGUGUGGCACAGGUUUUCCCCAGGGACAACUAGUAGUGGCACAAGUUGCACCACCACUAGUUGUCCCUAAAGAACCAAACAUCCAUGCACAUCUGGACGCAGCCAGCAUGUUUACUGGACUGGGCCACACAGGUACUUGGGUGCUGUUUGGUUUAGGUUCGGGAUCCCAGUGGCAUCUACAUAGGAAGUAGGUAGGUACCUAGCUGGUCAGACACUGGCACCUCUGGGCAUCAACAGAAGUAGAAAUGCAGAUGUUUAGUGUUCUUUCAGGUCAAACAGGGAGGUGCCUAAUUAAUUCAGGCACCUCCAAGGUUGAGCAGCCACUUGAACAAAUUUUUCUGGAUUGAAGUUUUGAGCUGAAAGUCCUACCUAUGUCUUGUUUUUUGUGUGAAGCUUUUCUCUCUCUCUCUCCUCCCCCUCCCCCAAAUCCUCUUUUUUAUCUGGCCCUAAAUGAAGAAGUAUUUUGGUGCAAGAUAAAUUGUGAGGUGAUUACAAAGUAAAAUUGAGAAACAUGAAGGGCAAUAGGAAGGCCAGGAAUGUCGUCAAAAAAUAGAAAUCAACUUGGAACGCUGAACUAGCCUGAGAAGCAGCCCUGAGGUUGCAAGCUUAAGGCCACAGCAGAAGCGCUUAUGCUGCGCCCCUAUCAGAUUCCAACAAACCUGCGAAUUCUGCUAAAUAUAUUGUCACACAAGGACACGAAAAAGGAAGAGGAAGAGUGGAAAAGAACAGUAACCGAAAGUGGCUGCAAAGAGCUUGUAGUUUGCUGUACAGUGUGCUGAAAGCAAGUAUGAAGACUGCCCAGAUAUCUGAGGAGCAAAGCGCUGCUUAAAGAAGAAAAGACCCAAAAGAGAUGACUUGGGGACGUGGAUAAGUAAAACAAAUUUUGGUUGGAGGUAUAUAAGCAGGCACAGGGAGUCCAGUCCUUCUAAAUUAUAGUGGACAAUAAUCCUGAUUAAUUCUGAUUUACUGAAAAAGAGAGAGGCUUCCUGGCAGACUGCAUGUGAAAAAGGAAAUUAGGAGUUAUCCUUUUUCAACACUGGGUGAACUGAAAGCCACUAGAGGAUGCAGAGUAUAUACUUCUCCUUUUUGGAAAAAUGUCUCUGUAUAUAGGAACUAUGUAAAGGUACCCGGACAUGAAACCUUAAAGUCCAGGUCCGCUGGGUACUGCCAAAUAUACAGCCUAAGGUAUUCCUGGUAAUGGGGCAUAUCCUGUUGUUGAGCUCCAGUCUGGUCCACUGAUGUUACCCAAUCAGAUCAGCUCUGCUCACACCUGCAUAAUGCUGGCAUGUUGGAUCUCCUCCCAGUGAAGUCUUUACAGGGGAGGAGUGCCUUUUUCUUCCCCAGUACUUCUAUGGGGCAGCCAGAAAGAAGGCCAUCUUAUACAAGGAUCAGAACAGACAGAGAAAUUGGGACUACGUUCUUAACCAUAGAGGCCUUAAGGAGUGAAACACAGUUGACAGGAGAGAGAAAGCAAAGCUGGGCAGUUUCCAUCCUCACCUUUGUCACCUGGAUCACGUGGGAAGGCUUGCAGUGCUGUGAUCUCUGCUGUGUAGCUGUAGUCUCAAAAACUGCUAUUUCAGCAUCUUUUUGUAAGCACUGAAUUCACUCAAAUGAAUGUAUCAAUAACAUUAAAGAGCACGGUUUGAAAGUAAACAAUUAAUUUAUCUUACACUGCACCGAAAAUAAUGAUGUUCAGCCUUGACAUUUUGAAUAAAAAAUGGUUAAAAGGCCAUUGCUUAAUGGUUGAAAGGGCACUGUCAGGUGCGACAAAUGGGGUCUGUUUUCUUCUUACAACUGUGUAAAUCCAGAGUAAUUUCACUACAAUUAAUAGAGUUACCCCAGUAUAAGCAAAAGGAGAAUCAGAUCUCAUUAUAUAUAACUGGUAACAUUGAAUAAAUCCUGCUCUCACUUGAACCAAUAUAAAGUUGGCGUAACUACAUUCAGUGAAUUUUGCCUGAAUUUACACAGAUGUAAUGGGAACACAGCUUGCCCCUUUAUCUUUCAAAGGUUUGUUGCAUAGUAUUUUAAGAUUUAUCAGUAUUUUAAAUAUAGCAGCCAUGCUUAACAGAUCCAUUUUUCUUGUUUGCAUUCUCAUCCCAUCAAUUUGUAGGACAUCUGAUCCUCUUGUUUUACCACUGUAGCAUAAUGUACAGUUUUGUAUUACUACUUGACAGAGUAGUAUUAUGUUUCCUUAGGUACAUUAUUUACAAUGUAUAAAAAAGUGACGUUAGUGAUGUUAAAACAGAACCAAAAAUUUUGCUUACAAAUAUUAUAUUGGGCGGGGGGGACCCUACCUGUGCUGUUUAUGACUCUGGAUAUGUAGCAUGUAGCUUUGGUAAUGCGGACAUUUUGAAAAAUUAAGUACAGUAAUUAAUCUCUGUACAUUUUCAUUCAACGAAGGUCUUUUUUAUCUUGUUAAUGAGUUUGUUAGUUUGGGUUCUCAGUAUCAUGAAUUUUGAAUCUUCUGCAAAUAGAUAUAACAUGUACCUAAUAGAUUUUUGUAACAAUUCUCAAUGCUUGUUCUGUACGAAGUCAGUCAUUUAAACUUCAGUUUUAGGUUCCUAUUCAUUACUGUAUAGUAUUCAGUACCAAUAAAUGAGUUUUCCUGGUCUGUUUACCUCCAUGGAGAACGAUUUCUUUAAGUGGUUUCUUAACCAUUCCGUACAGAUCCAUGCGAGGUCUCUUUUUCUGUAAAUGAUACUGAUGCUUACAUGGGCAUUGUCAAAUUUGAUUUACCUUCAGAUGUUUAGAAAUGGAAUGUGUAGAAUCAAAACAUUAAAGACUAAUUGUCUAAUCUUGG